UGGGGAAUUUUGCACAAUGGAGGAAACUCUGAUGCAGCGACGCCGCGUGAGUGAUGAAGAUCUUCGGAUUGUAAAACUCUGUCCUUAGUGAAGAUAAUGACAGUAACUAAGAAGCAAGCCCUGGCUAAAUACGUGCCAGCAGCCGCGGUAAUACGUAUGGGGCAAGCGUUGUCCGGAAAUAUUGGGCGUAAAGGGUACGUAGGCGGUUUAAUAAGUCCUAAUUAAAAGGCUAUGGCUCAACCAUAGUAUGGUUAGGAAACUGUUUAACUUGAGUAGAUGAGGGGAAAGUGGAAUUCCAUGUGUGGCGGUGAAAUGCGUAGAUAUAUGGAGGAACACCAAUGGCGAAGGAAACUUUCUGGAAUCAAACUGACGCUGAGGUACGAAGGCGUGGGGAGCAAACAGG
RNAcentral lists this ribosomal RNA (403 nucleotides) under Fusobacteriota bacterium. RNAcentral describes it as "Fusobacteria bacterium partial 16S ribosomal RNA". It matches the Rfam family "Bacterial small subunit ribosomal RNA", at positions 355 to 776 of the family's 1533-position model. The record is from RNAcentral. Lineage: Bacteria; Fusobacteriati; Fusobacteriota.